RNAcentral lists this ribosomal RNA (2902 nucleotides) under Escherichia coli. Its description in RNAcentral is "23S ribosomal RNA". It matches the Rfam family "Bacterial large subunit ribosomal RNA". Lineage: Bacteria; Pseudomonadati; Pseudomonadota; Gammaproteobacteria; Enterobacterales; Enterobacteriaceae. The record is from RNAcentral.
GGUUAAGCGACUAAGCGUACACGGUGGAUGCCCUGGCAGUCAGAGGCGAUGAAGGACGUGCUAAUCUGCGAUAAGCGUCGGUAAGGUGAUAUGAACCGUUAUAACCGGCGAUUUCCGAAUGGGGAAACCCAGUGUGAUUCGUCACACUAUCAUUAACUGAAUCCAUAGGUUAAUGAGGCGAACCGGGGGAACUGAAACAUCUAAGUACCCCGAGGAAAAGAAAUCAACCGAGAUUCCCCCAGUAGCGGCGAGCGAACGGGGAGCAGCCCAGAGCCUGAAUCAGUGUGUGUGUUAGUGGAAGCGUCUGGAAAGGCGCGCGAUACAGGGUGACAGCCCCGUACACAAAAAUGCACAUGCUGUGAGCUCGAUGAGUAGGGCGGGACACGUGGUAUCCUGUCUGAAUAUGGGGGGACCAUCCUCCAAGGCUAAAUACUCCUGACUGACCGAUAGUGAACCAGUACCGUGAGGGAAAGGCGAAAAGAACCCCGGCGAGGGGAGUGAAAAAGAACCUGAAACCGUGUACGUACAAGCAGUGGGAGCACGCUUAGGCGUGUGACUGCGUACCUUUUGUAUAAUGGGUCAGCGACUUAUAUUCUGUAGCAAGGUUAACCGAAUAGGGGAGCCGAAGGGAAACCGAGUCUUAACUGGGCGUUAAGUUGCAGGGUAUAGACCCGAAACCCGGUGAUCUAGCCAUGGGCAGGUUGAAGGUUGGGUAACACUAACUGGAGGACCGAACCGACUAAUGUUGAAAAAUUAGCGGAUGACUUGUGGCUGGGGGUGAAAGGCCAAUCAAACCGGGAGAUAGCUGGUUCUCCCCGAAAGCUAUUUAGGUAGCGCCUCGUGAACUCAUCUCCGGGGGUAGAGCACUGUUUCGGCAAGGGGGUCAUCCCGACUUACCAACCCGAUGCAAACUGCGAAUACCGGAGAAUGUUAUCACGGGAGACACACGGCGGGUGCUAACGUCCGUCGUGAAGAGGGAAACAACCCAGACCGCCAGCUAAGGUCCCAAAGUCAUGGUUAAGUGGGAAACGAUGUGGGAAGGCCCAGACAGCCAGGAUGUUGGCUUAGAAGCAGCCAUCAUUUAAAGAAAGCGUAAUAGCUCACUGGUCGAGUCGGCCUGCGCGGAAGAUGUAACGGGGCUAAACCAUGCACCGAAGCUGCGGCAGCGACGCUUAUGCGUUGUUGGGUAGGGGAGCGUUCUGUAAGCCUGUGAAGGUGUGCUGUGAGGCAUGCUGGAGGUAUCAGAAGUGCGAAUGCUGACAUAAGUAACGAUAAAGCGGGUGAAAAGCCCGCUCGCCGGAAGACCAAGGGUUCCUGUCCAACGUUAAUCGGGGCAGGGUGAGUCGACCCCUAAGGCGAGGCCGAAAGGCGUAGUCGAUGGGAAACAGGUUAAUAUUCCUGUACUUGGUGUUACUGCGAAGGGGGACGGAGAAGGCUAUGUUGGCCGGGCGACGGUUGUCCCGGUUUAAGCGUGUAGGCUGGUUUUCCAGGCAAAUCCGGAAAAUCAAGGCUGAGGCGUGAUGACGAGGCACUACGGUGCUGAAGCAACAAAUGCCCUGCUUCCAGGAAAAGCCUCUAAGCAUCAGGUAACAUCAAAUCGUACCCCAAACCGACACAGGUGGUCAGGUAGAGAAUACCAAGGCGCUUGAGAGAACUCGGGUGAAGGAACUAGGCAAAAUGGUGCCGUAACUUCGGGAGAAGGCACGCUGAUAUGUAGGUGAAGUCCCUCGCGGAUGGAGCUGAAAUCAGUCGAAGAUACCAGCUGGCUGCAACUGUUUAUUAAAAACACAGCACUGUGCAAACACGAAAGUGGACGUAUACGGUGUGACGCCUGCCCGGUGCCGGAAGGUUAAUUGAUGGGGUCAGCGCAAGCGAAGCUCUUGAUCGAAGCCCCGGUAAACGGCGGCCGUAACUAUAACGGUCCUAAGGUAGCGAAAUUCCUUGUCGGGUAAGUUCCGACCUGCACGAAUGGCGUAAUGAUGGCCAGGCUGUCUCCACCCGAGACUCAGUGAAAUUGAACUCGCUGUGAAGAUGCAGUGUACCCGCGGCAAGACGGAAAGACCCCGUGAACCUUUACUAUAGCUUGACACUGAACAUUGAGCCUUGAUGUGUAGGAUAGGUGGGAGGCUUAGAAGUGUGGACGCCAGUCUGCAUGGAGCCGACCUUGAAAUACCACCCUUUAAUGUUUGAUGUUCUAACGUUGACCCGUAAUCCGGGUUGCGGACAGUGUCUGGUGGGUAGUUUGACUGGGGCGGUCUCCUCCUAAAGAGUAACGGAGGAGCACGAAGGUUGGCUAAUCCUGGUCGGACAUCAGGAGGUUAGUGCAAUGGCAUAAGCCAGCUUGACUGCGAGCGUGACGGCGCGAGCAGGUGCGAAAGCAGGUCAUAGUGAUCCGGUGGUUCUGAAUGGAAGGGCCAUCGCUCAACGGAUAAAAGGUACUCCGGGGAUAACAGGCUGAUACCGCCCAAGAGUUCAUAUCGACGGCGGUGUUUGGCACCUCGAUGUCGGCUCAUCACAUCCUGGGGCUGAAGUAGGUCCCAAGGGUAUGGCUGUUCGCCAUUUAAAGUGGUACGCGAGCUGGGUUUAGAACGUCGUGAGACAGUUCGGUCCCUAUCUGCCGUGGGCGCUGGAGAACUGAGGGGGCUGCUCCUAGUACGAGAGGACCGGAGUGGACGCAUCACUGGUGUUCGGGUUGUCAUGCCAAUGGCACUGCCCGGUAGCUAAAUGCGGAAGAGAUAAGUGCUGAAAGCAUCUAAGCACGAAACUUGCCCCGAGAUGAGUUCUCCCUGACUCCUUGAGAGUCCUGAAGGAACGUUGAAGACGACGACGUUGAUAGGCCGGGUGUGUAAGCGCAGCGAUGCGUUGAGCUAACCGGUACUAAUGAACCGUGAGGCUUAACCUU